This is a long non-coding RNA of Eurytemora carolleeae, 347 nucleotides long. RefSeq lists it as uncharacterized. The transcript is spliced from 4 exons. The record is from RefSeq and is a predicted model, not a curated record. Lineage: Eukaryota; Metazoa; Arthropoda; Copepoda; Calanoida; Temoridae.
UUCAGAGGAUGGUCAAAAACGAUCUGAGGUGGUUGCUGGUAUUCUAGAUGAAUGGUGUAUGUCUGCAGGGCACCCAACAGAAAUGGAUGUUACAAGCCUAUCUGCUGCCUUAGAACAGGCUAGGCUCAAGUAUCAUGCACAAACAGUCAGAAACUUAUCUCUGGAUCCCAAUUCGGUCGGUUCAAUUAAGGAACAAACUUUUAAAAAUUAAAUUUUAUAUUUAAUAACAUGCAUAACACUAUCUGAAGUGCCUGCAUAGCCUGUGUGAUUUUUAAGAAGAAGAAAAAAUUUGAAGAAAAAAUCGAUGCUGAAAAAAAAAAUCUAGUUUUUCUUUUUCUACCUUCGGG